GAGCGGUAUUUGUUCUUCGGAACAGAGAGAGCGGCGUACGGGUGCGGAACACGUGUGCAACCUACCUUUAUCAGGGGGAUAGCCUUUCGAAAGGAAGAUUAAUACCCCAUAAUAUAUUGAUUGGCAUCAGUUAAUAUUGAAAACUCCGGUGGAUAGAGAUGGGCACGCGCAAGAUUAGAUAGUUGGUAGGGUAACGGCCUACCAAGUCAGUGAUCUUUAGGGGGCCUGAGAGGGUGAUCCCCCACACUGGUACUGAGACACGGACCAGACUCCUACGGGAGGCAGCAGUGAGGAAUAUUGGACAAUGGGUGAGAGCCUGAUCCAGCCAUCCCGCGUGAAGGACGACGGCCCUAUGGGUUGUAAACUUCUUUUGUAUAGGGAUAAACCUACUCUCGUGAGAGUAGCUGAAGGUACUAUACGAAUAAGCACCGGCUAACUCCGUGCCAGCAGCCGCGGUAAUACGGAGGGUGCAAGCGUUAUCCGGAUUUAUUGGGUUUAAAGGGUCCGUAGGCGGAUCUGUAAGUCAGUGGUGAAAUCUCAUAGCUUAACUAUGAAACUGCCAUUGAUACUGCAGGUCUUGAGUAAAGUAGAAGUGGCUGGAAUAAGUAGUGUAGCGGUGAAAUGCAUAGAUAUUACUUAGAACACCAAUUGCGAAGGCAGGUCACUAUGUUUUAACUGACGCUGAUGGACGAAAGCGUGGGGAGCGAACAGGAUUAGAUACCCUGGUAGUCCACGCCGUAAACGAUGCUAACUCGUUUUUGGGCUUUAGGGUUCAGAGACUAAGCGAAAGUGAUAAGUUAGCCACCUGGGGAGUACGUUCGCAAGAAUGAAACUCAAAGGAAUUGACGGGGGCCCGCACAAGCGGUGGAUUAUGUGGUUUAAUUCGAUGAUACGCGAGGAACCUUACCAAGGCUUAAAUGGGAAUUGACAGGUUUAGAAAUAGACUUUUCUUCGGACAAUUUUCAAGGUGCUGCAUGGUUGUCGUCAGCUCGUGCCGUGAGGUGUUAGGUUAAGUCCUGCAACGAGCGCAACCCCUGUCACUAGUUGCCAUCAUUCAGUUGGGGACUCUAGUGAGACUGCCUACGCAAGUAGAGAGGAAGGUGGGGAUGACGUCAAAUCAUCACGGCCCUUACGCCUUGGGCCACACACGUAAUACAAUGGCCAGUACAGAGGGCAGCUACCAGGCGACUGGAUGCGAAUCUCGAAAGCUGGUCUCAGUUCGGAUUGGAGUCUGCAACUCGACUCUAUGAAGCUGGAAUCGCUAGUAAUCGCAUAUCAGCCAUGAUGCGGUGAAUACGUUCCCGGGCCUUGUACACACCGCCCGUCAAGCCAUGGAAGUUUGGGGUACCUGAAGUCGGUGACCGUAACA
RNAcentral lists this ribosomal RNA (1369 nucleotides) under Chryseobacterium piscium. Its description in RNAcentral is "bacterial SSU rRNA". It matches the Rfam family "Bacterial small subunit ribosomal RNA", at positions 64 to 1441 of the family's 1533-position model. The record is from RNAcentral. Lineage: Bacteria; Pseudomonadati; Bacteroidota; Flavobacteriia; Flavobacteriales; Weeksellaceae.